GUUGAACGCUGGCGGCGUGCCUAAUACAUGCAAGUCGAGCGAGCGGACGAGAAGCUUGCUUCUCUGGUGUUAGCGGCGGACGGGUGAGUAACACGUGGAUAACCUACCUAUAAGACUGGGCUAACUUCGGGAAACCGUAGCUAAUACCGGAUAAUAUUUUGAACCGCAUGGUUCAAAAGUGAUAGACGGUCUUGACGUCACUAAUAGAUGGAUCCGCGCUGCAUUAGCUAGUUGGUAAGGUAACGGCUUACCAAGGCAACGAUGCAUAGCCGACCUGAGAGGGUGAGCGGCCACACUGGAACUGAGACACGGUCCAGACUCCUACGGGAGGCAGCAGUAGGGAAUCUUCCGCAAUGGGCGAAAGCCUGACGGAGCAACGCCGCGUGAGUGAUGAAGGGCUUCGGAUCGUAAAACUCUGUUAUUAGGGAAGAACAUAUGUGGAAGUAACUGUGCACAUCUUGACGGUACCUAAUCAGAAAGCCACGGCUAACUACGUG
Molecule: ribosomal RNA, 497 nt
Filed under: uncultured bacterium
Lineage: Bacteria
Description: partial 16S ribosomal RNA
Rfam family: Bacterial small subunit ribosomal RNA
Source: RNAcentral